UACUUCUUUUAAUCCAACCAUGACCAUUUAGUCCUAAUUUUCUUGGGGGAAUAAUGAUUCGUGUAUGUAUACUAAUAGAAUGAGGAUGACCCUAUUGCUCUCUUCCUAUUUCAUUCAUCCCAAAGAAUCACAUGAGCCAGCAUCUCCAGGGGAAUAGACCAAUAGGAGAAAUGGAUAUAGUGUUGAGCUGGUUUAGACCCUACUGUCCCUAGUACAUAACAGAAGUCUUCCAUGGGAAAAGAAUCCUAAAAAGUGAAUAUGUCAAGAUUAAUGUGAAAGUAUUACUCUAUUACAAAGCUACAUUGACAACAGCAAGAACUGCUCAGAGAUAGAAGCAGAUUUUGACUCAACCAGUGCUAAAUUCAACCUAAUCUUAAGAACCCAACAUAUGAAAUAAUUCCAGAUUCAAAUGAGCUUCAGAGGCCUUUCUGACUGUAAGAAAGAAUUGAAAUGACUGUCCAGAGUACAUCCAGGAUUUCGUGUUAUCAGUGGGGUGCUUAUAACCAGCAAGAGAUCUUCCAGAGCCACUUCGUCCGUCUAAUAGAUCUUUCUGGAAGCUUCCAGCUCCCCAAAUGUGAAUGCAGUCAGUCUAUAGCUUUAUUAUUCAACCCAACUUUCCUCCUAAAGAUUGUGCCAAACCUUGAUGCUUAAACUGUGCCAUUAGGAGCAUCUUGGCUUUCUUUCCAUACAAUUUGUAUUUGUAACUGGGUAGAUUUUUACUCUGGGACUUUUAUAGCCUUUAUAAUAUUAAAAAGUGAGUCGUGGAUCUGCUCUCUGGCUUUUGAGAGGCCUGGACUGGAUACUGUAUAAGUGUAUGUCCGUGUCUUCCCCUGUUUCUACCAUGUACAAUCAUGCAGCUGAAGGUAAAAGGCUAUCCCUGUAGCCUCAUCUCCGCUAUUUGAGGCCAAACAUGUAACUGAUGAAGCAGGCAGAUUCCUGGCUACACUGUGACUAAACAAAGGGUCACUGCAUACACAAAACCAGGACACUGGUAAAUUCACCAUGAAAAGAAAAGUCUGGUGUCAGUGGGUUGAGGCUGAACUAUAAUAACUUUUAAUGUUCCUCAGUUGAGUUAUUCUUAAUUUAUACUUCUCAAAUGCUACAUUGUAGUCAGGUAUGGUGAUAUAUACCUGCAAUCAGCAAUUGGAAGGCUGUGACAAAAAGAUCAUGAAUUCAA
Long non-coding RNA from Dipodomys spectabilis (banner-tailed kangaroo rat), 1177 nucleotides. RefSeq lists it as uncharacterized. The transcript is spliced from 5 exons. The record is from RefSeq and is a predicted model, not a curated record. NCBI's taxonomy places the organism in Eukaryota, Metazoa, Chordata, Mammalia, Rodentia, Heteromyidae.